UACGGAGGGAGCUAGCGUUGUUCGGAUUUACUGGGCGUAAAGGGCACGUAGGCGGAUCGAUCAGUCAGGGGUGAAAUCCCAGGGCUCAACCCUGGAACUGCCUUUGAUACUGCCGAUCUGGAGUAUGGGAGAGGUGAGUGGAAUUCCGAGUGUAGAGGUGAAAUUCGUAGAUAUUCGGAGGAACACCAGUGGCGAAGGCGGCUCACUGGUCCAUUACUGACGCUGAGGUGCGAAAGCGUGGGGAGCAAACAGG
Molecule: ribosomal RNA, 253 nt
Filed under: uncultured bacterium
Lineage: Bacteria
Description: partial 16S ribosomal RNA
Rfam family: Bacterial small subunit ribosomal RNA
Source: RNAcentral